Molecule: non-coding RNA, 75 nt
Organism: Myotis davidii
Lineage: Eukaryota; Metazoa; Chordata; Mammalia; Chiroptera; Vespertilionidae
Source: Rfam
GGCGGUUCUCGAGUGAUGCAUCCCCAAAUCAGGCUCCCUCCUCUCUGGUUCCAGGUGCCUCUCCUGAAAACCGCA